Molecule: ribosomal RNA, 319 nt
Filed under: uncultured eukaryote
Lineage: Eukaryota
Description: partial 18S ribosomal RNA
Rfam family: Eukaryotic small subunit ribosomal RNA
Source: RNAcentral
CCCUUAGAUGUUCUGGGCAGCACGCGCGCUACAAUGGUCUUCGCAAACGGAUGCAUUCUCGAAGGAGAAUGCCAAUCUUGGAAUCUAUGCCUUGGUCGGGACAGUUGCUUGCAAUUUUUCGACUCGAACCAGGAAUUCCUUGUAAUCGUGAUUCAUCACAUCACGAUGAAUACGUCCCUGCCCUUUGUACACACCGCCCGUCGCUCCUACCGAUCGAAGAGUUAGGUGAAUUGUUUUGAUCGAUAAGAUUUGACUAUGGUCAACUCUCGUUGUGAAAUUCUGUGAAUCUGACUGUUUAGAGGAUGGAAAAGUCGUAACA